Molecule: ribosomal RNA, 296 nt
Filed under: uncultured bacterium
Lineage: Bacteria
Description: partial 16S ribosomal RNA
Rfam family: Bacterial small subunit ribosomal RNA
Source: RNAcentral
GGAUUAGAUACCCUGGUAGUCCACGCCGUAAACGAUGAGUGCUAGUUGUUGGAAUCUUUAGGUUUCAGUGACGCAGCUAACGCAGUAAGCACUCCGCCUGGGGAGUACGGUCGCAAGAUUAAAACUCAAAGGAAUUGACGGGGACCCGCACAAGCGGUGGAGCAUGUGGUUUAAUUCGAGGCAACGCGAAGAACCUUACCAGGCCUUGACAUGGUUAGUAUGAUUUUCAGAAAUGAAUUUCUUCAGUUUGGCUGGCUAACACACAGGUGCUGCAUGGCUGUCGUCAGCUCGUGCCG